UCCAAACCCAGUGCCGCAUUAGGUUAGGGGGCUGGGCUUUUCGGUCCUCUCCAAUCAAUCGAGCUUCCGUUGGUCGCCUCCGCAUCCCCAAGCGCGCUGCCCUCAUAGGCGCACAACAUUAAGUAAUCCUUUUCUCUUAGUCUUCUUCUCCCAUUUUUCUAUUUUAUAUUUUAUUUACCUUUUCAGUUCUUAAACUCUCAAACUACACAUAUUUUUCUUUUUCUUUCAUUGCAAUUGUUUUGCAUUUCAUUAAAUACUUGGAAUGCAUUCAUUGAUAACACAAAAUGACAGCUUUGUUAUCAGUAUUAAUAUUUUCUUUUCGUUCUUUUUUGAAACUUUAGUAUCAACAUUCUUUUUAAAAAAAAAAUUAUCAACAGUUUUUUUCUUCUUAAGAAUAAAAUCUCCAUCAUGCUUAGCAGGAGAUUUUAGACUUUUCUUCUUUUUUUUCUUUCUCUAAAAUCUUAGCUCUUUUUGCCGUAGAAUGAGAAUCAUUUUUCUUACCCAUUACAUCUAAAUCUUUACUAGUAGAAGAAGAACAACUUUUCAAAUUCCUAAUAAUUUCUUAUCUAUUACACUUAAAAAUCAUUUGCAUGAAUUCAAAAAAUAAUAAAUAAUACCAAGUUAGAAAGAAGUUGAAAAAUAAAAAUAUAAAAUAUAAAAAAAUCGUUAAAAGAUCAAGUAACGAGAGGAUUUAGUAAAAAAAAUGGCCAGAGAGGUAAAAGAAAAUAGAAAAGCUGAAGGUUAUAUAAAAAACGAUUAAAAAAUAAAAAAAGUAAAAAGAAUAAAAAUAAACCGUAGGAGUGUAAUUUCGUCAAAAGAAAAAAAAGGCCCAAAUAUUAUGGUAAUAGUCUUAUUAUUAUUAUUUUUUUUAUGAAUUAGAAGAGAUUAUAUUGAUAUCGACGAGUCUUGAGCUUUUUAUUUUUUAUUUUAACUGAUACAGACGACAAACUUGCAUCAUCUUCUUGUUCUUCUUCCUCAUCGCCGAUAUUUUCCUCCCUCUUCAAACUCGGCAAACAUAAACAUAAUUUCCAUAACAACUCAAAAUAAGUACAAAGUCCUGAAAUAUAAUCAUGUAAGUACAAGGAUUUUGGAUUUAGUUGGUUGUGCCAGCACUUCUGUUCAAGUGGCUUCAAGUUUAAAUUUUCUUUUUUUUCUUUUUUUCUCCUUUUUAAUUCGGAUUAAUAUUGAAUUUAGUGAAUGUUUUCAGAAUCAGUUCUGUGGUUCUUUAAUUUAUUUUUGUCCAACUGAUUAUUUGUCUUCAAAAGGUUUAUUGCAUUGAGUGUCCAUAACUUUUUCUUUUUUGAAUUUGAUGUGUGGGCGGGGAUGUUGGUUUGCUUUGUGCAGACACUGAUUACGAUCUUUAGUUGGUCGUGCCGGCACUUCUUUUCAAGUGGGUUCAAGUUUAAACUUAUUUUUGCUUUUUUUUUUUUUUUCUAAUGGAAGUGGCUUCAAGUUUAAACAGAACUGAUUCUUAAAACAUUCGCUGCUUAAUUCAACAUUAAUCAGAAUCCAACUGAUUAUAUGUCUACAAAAAGUAUAUUGGGUUGAGUGUCUAUAAUAUUUUCUUUUUUGAAUUUGAUGUGCUUCUAGAUAUUGAAGGUGGGUUUUAAGCGAAAGCUUAAACCCUUGUCUGAUUUUUGCUAAAUUUUAUAAGCCAAACCAAUUUUAACAGAUUGUAAAUAAUACAGCAGCCUCGUUUUAAUUCUUAUCCUCCGUCUCAACUUCCCAAUCAAAUUCGACCCAACAACAACAAUAAUACUACUGCUCCUGUUAAUCCACAGGUUGUUUUACAUUAAUAUCUGUGUUUUAUAUGAUCAAUUUAGCUGUUUUUUUUUUAAAUGUAUCUUCAACUGUUCUAGUUUUAGGUUUCUCUAGCAAAUUUAUGCGACAUGCUGCAGAAUUUUAUGUCUAUGCCCAUCCAAAUGCACAACAAUUUCAACUGGGUAUCGUUAUGAAUCCUCAAUUUCAAUUUCCUUUCAACAAUCAUUCCAGUAUCUCAUCUUUCAUCACUCAACAUCAAUUUGGUUUAUGUCUAUGCACAACAAUUUCAACUGGGUAUUGUUAUGAAUCCUCAAUUUCAAUUUCCUUUCAACAAUCAUUCCAGUAUCUCAUCUUUCAUCACUCAACAUCAAUUUGGUUUACUUCAAAUGGGCUUUUCUCCACUGAAUCAUCUAAAUAAUCUGAAUAGAGUUCCCAUGUUUGUCAAUCAAUUCAACCCAUCCCAACUUCAACCCCAACAAUUUCCCUUUAAUUUACCUCAACAGCUCAAUCAAAAUGGGUUUUCCCAAUCUCCAAAGUAUGAAUCCUAUACUGCCUAUUCAAAUGCCAAAUCUGUCUCAACCUUUUAACCCUCAUAAUCCCAACUUUUUUUCCUAUUGGGCACCAACCCAACCCAAUGCAGCAAGUAAAGGAGAGCACAUCCUCAAUGCCGCAAACUCAAAGCUCACCGCACUUUCCUUCAUUUAAGCAGCAGCAGGUAUCAGAAGUCUCAAUUCCAUCAAAUUAAUAAUGGAAAGAGGAAGUCUGGUGAGCACAAGGGUAAAGGUUUGCGUCUCACAAGUAACAUCAUAGUAGUUUCUUCCGUAUUGCUGGCCACUGCGUGUUGAUUCACAAUGACAUCUUACAUGGUUUAUGGACCUGAAGUGGGUGUUGAAUUUACAAAUUGGUCAGCUUAUCCAAUUCACUGAAAGUUCUAUCCAGGAUUGCUGUUAUUUCUUCUUCUCAAAGGGCGCCUUCUGGAAAAAUUAAAGAAGCAUGUUGGAUCUCACCCAUUGAAUUAGACAAUCCUUCUAUUUUACUAGGGCUGUUGACUCCUUUUGUCUUUGAAUAUCUCAUUUUUGUAUACAGUAGAAGGUUAAAGGAACUCGAAGAGCUUGAGAGAAAACUCAAAAGCUUUUGUGUCUUUGCUUUAAAACCCUUGGAAUCUGUCACAAAUGUCCUUUUGAUAAUUGUUUAAAUAUGCCUGCCUCCUGCCACUCCCCCUUCCCCUUCUUUCCCUGUCUGUUUCGUUCUCCUUUUUUAUCAUAGUGUGUGCAUGUGUUUCUACAUUUCUUCGGCUGUAUAUUUAGGAUACAGUUUGCAUGACUCGUAAAUGUGUUUCUACAUUUACAUUUCUUCGGCUGUCUGCUUUGACUUUUACAUUUUUCCUUAAAAUUAAUAGGGCAUGGCUAUGAGAGCAUCACAAAAGCUGGUCGGACUAUGCUACUGAGCAAGCUAGGGAAAAGGUCUCUUGCUUUGAUCUAUAUGGAGCAAGAAAUCAAACUAUGGCGAAAAACUUCCAGUCGAAAGCUACAGAGAAGUGCAAUGAAAGGCCACCAAACUAUGUCGAGAGAUACUAUUCAUAUGUAUGCAUAUAUUUUCUUGAUUAAUGUUGUAAAUGAUUGCGUAUAUAUAAAGGCAAGAUCUUCCAUGCUCUCAACAAUGUUGCCAUUUCACGAAGAGCCUAUAUGAAUAUUUUGCACUUUCAAGAAUAUUAUAACUCUAGGUAAGAGGUAUGAAAUGGAUUUCUCUUACUUCCACAAUGUAUUUAUCACUUAUCAGUGUACAUCCAGUUAUAUAAUUGUUAACCUUUUGUUCCACACAGAAAUUUUUUCCUCAAUGGACUUUCCUAGAUAUUUUUUUUAUCCUGGUCUGUUUUGGGACAAUAUGGUUUUGGAUAAUUUGGACGCAAGUUGAUUGAAAGAAUCUCCCUGGACAUGGACAAGCUGCUAAUUCUCUCGACUCAAAGAGACAUUAGCAAAGCAGGCUGAGUUGGGAGUUGAAGUUGCAGAAAUACCGUCACGCUACCUAUCAGAUUCAGAGAAACAAGUAAAGGUUAAAGGGAGAUAAUAGGUCUGCUCCUAAGAAGGGGAGAUCCUGGCACAAGCAUGAUAGAAGAGGAAGAUAUAACAGAAAGGAUGGGUUGGCACACAGGAUACAUUAACAAACAAGGAUUCGACUAACGGUUCUUCAUUCAGCAAUACAAAGCCAACACUUCGGCAGAAGCUUCUGAGCGCAGAAGUAAGAAAAGAUAAAGACUGCUUGUUGCAGGUUCUUAGGUUCAUGGCAAUGAACUAUAAAGAAAUCCAGUCAAUAUAUAAGAGGUAUUUGAUCAAAUCAAGAAGAAGCUGCAAGACAACAAGAGAAGUUUCUCAUAUUUGUAGGCAAGAAAGAGAGGUUUAGAGAGAGAAAAAAUAUGCAAGGUUUUAAAACGAGAAUGUGUGACUGUGUGGGGUUGGUGUAGUGGCGAUGGUUUGGCUUCUUUUGAAUUGUAUUUAUUUCACAAAACAACUGUAGCAAGAUUGUUCAAUUUCGUGACAGUACUGGAAAUAGAGCUGGAGAUUUCAUCUUCUUAUCGGUAAGACUUGGCCUUUGCUUGUGCCUUGUAAUCCUAUUAACCCAUUUAGCUAUUUCUUUUCCAAAUUUGAGUGAAAUUGUUCAAUUUAGGAUA
This is a long non-coding RNA of Ricinus communis (castor bean), 4429 nucleotides long. RefSeq lists it as uncharacterized. The transcript has 8 exons. The record is from RefSeq and is a predicted model, not a curated record. NCBI's taxonomy places the organism in Eukaryota, Viridiplantae, Streptophyta, Magnoliopsida, Malpighiales, Euphorbiaceae.